Molecule: ribosomal RNA, 271 nt
Filed under: uncultured archaeon
Lineage: Archaea
Description: partial 16S ribosomal RNA
Rfam family: Archaeal small subunit ribosomal RNA
Source: RNAcentral
CAGCGCCACAAGUGGCAACCACGUUUAUUGGGUCUAAAGCGUUCGUAGCCGGUUUAGUAAAUCUUUUGUGAAAUUGUCGGGCUUAACCUGACAGCGUGCAGAAGACACUGCUAAACUUGAGACCGGGAGGGGUUAGAAGUAUUUCAGGGGGAGCGGUAAAAUGUUAUAAUCCCUGAAAGACUACCAAUGGCGAAGGCAUCUAACCAGAACGGAUCUGACGGUGAGGAACGAAGGCCAGGGGAGCGAACCGGAUUAGAUACCCGAGUAGUCC